AAAUUGAAGAGUUUGAUCAUGGCUCAGAUUGAACGCUGGCGGCAGGCCUAACACAUGCAAGUCGAACGGUAACAGGAAGCAGCUUGCUGCUUCGCUGACGAGUGGCGGACGGGUGAGUAAUGUCUGGGAAACUGCCUGAUGGAGGGGGAUAACUACUGGAAACGGUGGCUAAUACCGCAUAACGUCGCAAGACCAAAGAGGGGGACCUUCGGGCCUCUUGCCAUCAGAUGUGCCCAGAUGGGAUUAGCUAGUUGGUGAGGUAACGGCUCACCAAGGCGACGAUCCCUAGCUGGUCUGAGAGGAUGACCAGCCACACUGGAACUGAGACACGGUCCAGACUCCUACGGGAGGCAGCAGUGGGGAAUAUUGCACAAUGGGCGCAAGCCUGAUGCAGCCAUGCCGCGUGUAUGAAGAAGGCCUUCGGGUUGUAAAGUACUUUCAGCGGGGAGGAAGGUGUUGUGGUUAAUAACCACAGCAAUUGACGUUACCCGC
This 492-nucleotide ribosomal RNA is filed under the name Salmonella enterica. Its description in RNAcentral is "bacterial SSU rRNA". It matches the Rfam family "Bacterial small subunit ribosomal RNA", at positions 1 to 482 of the family's 1533-position model. Lineage: Bacteria; Pseudomonadati; Pseudomonadota; Gammaproteobacteria; Enterobacterales; Enterobacteriaceae. The record is from RNAcentral.